RNAcentral lists this long non-coding RNA (866 nucleotides) under Dromaius novaehollandiae (emu). RNAcentral describes it as "lncRNA (ENSDNVG00000012476.1)". The record is from RNAcentral. Lineage: Eukaryota; Metazoa; Chordata; Aves; Casuariiformes; Dromaiidae.
UCAUUGGUGUCUUUGAAAUAGGUUAUGAAUUUAAAAACAGAUACCAGGAGCAGCACCCCAUUUCCAUGAGUACUGCUACCGAAGUCCGAGGGAAUUAUUCGCGGGAUAUGGUGCUUCUCAAGUUGUUAGAGACUGCUUGGAUGGAAGAAAUGCCGUGACCAGGAUAGAUGCCAAUGAAGCAGGGUUGGGCAACCACCACCGCUGUUCAAAGAAACACUCUGGGCAGUAAUGAGUACCUGUCACGCUCUCCCAGAAGCAAGACUAUAGCUAUUUUACAAAAAAGUUUAUGAUGUUCUGUAGCGUUAGGAAGAACAGAAGACCGUCUUCAUGGGAUUGGCAUUGCAACAGCAUGGGACCUGGCUGGCAGUAACUUGUUCAGCGUCCUUCUGGGGACGGAGCGGAGCUGCAGCCCCCGGGUGUGCAGGGACCGAGGGCUUCUGCCACCUCCUCCAACCGGAUAGUCAGGGAGGAAGAGGAUGGUCUCCCAUGGGAGGAUUACACCRUGAGCAUUUUUUGUCGGAUCGCGCCUCGCACAGUGACAUUCUUUAAGUUCUAAACAGCAGAAGAGAAUGAGAGGUGGGUCCAUGAAAAGUGAAUUUCCAACAACUUCCCAAGACCUGGGAAGUGAUUUUAGCAGGGGAAACGUGCCUUAAGUGUCAGGUCUAUGCAUAUGGCUGUUACACCUAGUCUGUAAAAAGUAUUGAGACAAACUACUCAGCCUGGUCUCUUGGCUGCGCUACCUGCAUAUCCUUGCAUUAUGCACUGUGUGCAAACAUUGCACUGCCAGUGUCCAUUUUUUAAAGGUUUUCACACCUUUCAUUUAAACUGAGGAAAAUAAAUGUAGGGCUGAAACAGUACCUUAAUCA